GCAUUGGUGGUUCAGUGGUAGAAUCCUCGCCUGCCACGCCGGGGGCCCGGGUUCGAUUCCCGGCCAAUGCA
Non-coding RNA from Ciona savignyi (Pacific transparent sea squirt), 71 nucleotides. Lineage: Eukaryota; Metazoa; Chordata; Ascidiacea; Phlebobranchia; Cionidae. The record is from Rfam.